GUCAAUCAAAACCCAAAUAUUUGUGAUCAGGUGUCAUUCUCUUUCAAUUAAAGGCCGCACAAUUUCAUAAUAGUCUACAAUAACUGCUCCCAAAGUGUAGCAAAAAUAUUUUUUAAGUCAGCUUUUCAUUAUUUAUGAGGAAACUCUAAGGCUUGUGUCUCUUACGAGGCCACAUUUCUUUUCAUCUCUAUUUUCAGUUAUUUCAGGUUUCCCCGGCAGCUUCCUUGGAGGCUGUCAGAAGUCAUGAGAUCGGCAGAACCGGUUGGAGAGUUGCAGACGCUCAAGCUCACCCAGUGCAGCCCCCGCGUUCCACAGAUGAAGACACCAGGGAAGGGAACGGCUAACCGACGGCUCGGCAUCACGCGGCGAGCUCCCGAGGGAGCCCGGAGUGGGAGCCGAGCCUCCUGCCCCGCCGCCCAGCCUUCCGUCACCACAUCCCGGCGCACCUCGCUAGGCGUGAAGAAGAAAACACCUUCCGACCAUCACUGUUGACAAAGACGUGGGGCUGCUCACCGUCCGGAGGCACAUUCCAGCUGUUCGCCGGGAUCCUUUUUCCCUAUUGGGCAAGCUCCCUCAGUGCCACAGGGGUCACGGCUGCGCGCGCCGUCGUUGACUGCAGGCACUGGGGCGGCCCUGGUCUCCGGGUAUAGCGCGGCCCACACUGUCGCUCCGGCAGCAGCUCACAGUCCUGCCAAAAAGAGCGCGCCCGCGCAGGGGGAGCGACAGGCAGAGGGAGAAGCAGCUCCCCGUGGAGCAGGGAGCCCGAGGCGGGGCUCCAUCCCAGAACCCCCAGAUCACGACCUGAGCCAAGGGAGGACGCCUCGCUGACUGAGCCACCCAGACGCCCCUUCUCAUUUGAUUUUUGUUAUAGCCCUUGGAAAAAUAAAGGUAGUUACUAUCUCUUUCUUGA
Mustela lutreola (European mink) is the source of this 910-nucleotide long non-coding RNA. RefSeq lists it as uncharacterized. The transcript is spliced from 2 exons. The record is from RefSeq and is a predicted model, not a curated record. Lineage: Eukaryota; Metazoa; Chordata; Mammalia; Carnivora; Mustelidae.